GGUUUCAUAGCCUCAGUUAGUAGAGCAUCGCACCAGUUAGGUGGAAGUCAUGGGUUCAUAUCCCGUUGAAGCCC
Desmophyllum pertusum is the source of this 74-nucleotide non-coding RNA. The record is from the annotation of a GenBank genome assembly. Lineage: Eukaryota; Metazoa; Cnidaria; Anthozoa; Scleractinia; Caryophylliidae.